This 450-nucleotide ribosomal RNA is filed under the name uncultured bacterium. RNAcentral's name for it is "partial 16S ribosomal RNA". It matches the Rfam family "Bacterial small subunit ribosomal RNA", at positions 354 to 796 of the family's 1533-position model. The record is from RNAcentral.
GUGGGGAAUAUUGGACAAUGGGCGAAAGCCUGAUCCAGCCAUGCCGCGUGUGUGAAGAAGGUCUUCGGAUUGUAAAGCACUUUAAGUUGGGAGGAAGGGCAGUAAGUUAAUACCUUGCUGUUUUGACGUUACCGACAGAAUAAGCACCGGCUAACUUCGUGCCAGCAGCCGCGGUAAUACGAAGGGUGCAAGCGUUAAUCGGAAUUACUGGGCGUAAAGCGCGCGUAGGUGGUUUUGUAAGUUGGAGGUGAAAUCCCCGGGCUCAACCUGGGAACUGCCUCCAAAACUGCAUGACUAGAGUACGGUAGAGGGUAGUGGAAUUUCCUGUGUAGCGGUGAAAUGCGUAGAUAUAGGAAGGAACACCAGUGGCGAAGGCGACUACCUGUACUGAUACUGACACUGAGGUGCGAAAGCGUGGGGAGCAAACAGGAUUAGAUACCCUAGUAGUCC